RNAcentral lists this long non-coding RNA (1386 nucleotides) under Struthio camelus australis. Its description in RNAcentral is "lncRNA (ENSSCUG00000012159.1)". The record is from RNAcentral. Lineage: Eukaryota; Metazoa; Chordata; Aves; Struthioniformes; Struthionidae.
CCUUUUGCCUUCAGAGAAGCAAGGCUGGCUGGUUUCUGAAGGACAGAAAGAAAGGCAGGCCAAUCUGUACAUGUUCAGUAGUGGCACAGAAUAGUAGAAAAUAUCAUGUCUCAUCUAGUAAAGGAAACUUGAAUGGUCACAUUAUUAAUUCUUGAUUACAGGUCUUUACAGUGAAAACAUAACAUACCGUGAUAACAGUUAAAGAUUCCAAGACGGCUGGUGCCUGUUGUGCUGGGCACUGCCCAGUCUAUGAAAAUAGCCCACUGCAAGCUGGAUCUCUGACUGGACAGCGCAUCCUUUACCUUGUGCACAGGUCAGCAUCGCUCAGAGAAGGCGGCUGAUGGAGACGCCGGCUAGCACCUGGGCGAUGUUUCUCCAUUUGGCGUUAAAUGUUCCAGUGUUUUACAGCAUUUUGGGGCAACAGAAAGGGGAAAAGCGAAGGAAAGAGUUUCAGUUUUUUCAAUGUGGAACCUGCUUUGCUGCAAUUUUCAGAGAGACCUGUUCUGAAGCGCAGGGCUGGAACAGGACGGCAGCAUGAUGCAGUAGAUACAGUAACGGCUUUGAUGUCCCAAUAGACAACUUAUGAAAGCACAGCACUGAACACAGCUUGGAAUGAUCCCAUCACGUCUCAGUAGAAGACCUGCUUCCAGGAGAUGCUAAGCAAUGUUUCGAAAUACUCACCAUGCUUCAGUCCCACACCUUACGGAGCAGUUAUAACAGUCAGUCAUACGUAUUGAUUAGCUUGGCAGUACAGAGGAACUCGCAAUACAACCUACUUCUCAGGAAAGAUCACUUGAGAACAUUUUUCUUUUUUAAAGUAUUAAAAUGAUCAAGGAAACUGACGUUGUGAGUGUUUUGUAAAUCUUUACUAAGGAAUGGCAAAACCAGGACAAUUCAUCAUUUGAGUUUUACAAAUCCUCACUAAGAACACUUUUCAUAUGGAAGCCAGCUUUAGUCCAUCAAUAUUUCAUAUUUCUAUAUAAGAAUAGGGUGAGAGUUUGACUUAUAAAAAUAUUCAGUGCUUUAUUAACUUGCCUUUUUGCCUUAUUGCAAAGAGAAUUGGAAAGCCCUGAGUGAGUUACAGCUAGGGGUUCUGCAGCUUUUCACUCUGCUCUACAAUUUUCUUUAUGCUCCUUUAGCCUAUGUUAAGUGUGCACCAUUGCUGCCAUUUGAGCAUCUGUCCCCUGCUGCACUGAAUCACCAGAAAGCAGCUCUUGUACUCCAUCUGUGACAGCUCCAAGCUCAGAGGAAACACUCUUUGUGGAAAUGCUGAUUCAAUGUGGCAGGGGAUAACUGGGCUGGCAGAAGCUGCUUUGUGCUUUUUAAUAACUGGGAAAAGAAGGCUGGGAAUGACAGACAGGGCAGGAAGCAAAGAAUGUACAUCCU